GGGGCUGGUGAGGCCCGCGGGUCGGGGCUGAGGUCGCCGCGUUGGGCCGGGCGCCGGGUCCCAUGGAGCUGGAGGGGCAGUGGUGGCGAGGACAGCUGGCCGCCAACAUGCACCAGGCGCUUCAGUACAAGGAGCUGAAGUUGCCCUCCUACAAAGGCCAGUCCCCUCAACUAAGUCUCAGGCGGUAUUUUGCUGACUUGAUUGCCAUUGUGAGCAAUCGCUUUACACUCUGCCCAUCUGCCCAACAUCUUGCUGUCUAUUUGCUGGACUUGUUUAUGGAUCGCUAUGACAUCUCUAUCCAACAGCUCUAUCUAGUUGCGCUUUCCUGUCUGCUUCUAGCAAGUAAGUUUGAAGAGAAGGAAGACAGCGUGCCUAAGCUGGAGCAGCUCAACAGCCUGGGCUGCAUGACCAACAUGAAUCUCGUAUUAACAAAACAAAACUUGCUACACAUGGAACUCUUACUAUUAGAAACCUUCCAGUGGAACCUCUGCCUGCCGACAGCUGCCCAUUUCAUCAAGUAUUAUCUCUCUGAAGCUGUACAUGAAAUGGAUCUUCAUGAUGGCUGGCCCAUGAUUUGCUUGGAAAAAACUAAACUCUACAUGGCCAAGUAUGCAGAUUAUUUCCUGGAAGUGUCUUUGCAAGAUUAUGCCUUUCUAAAUUAUGCACCUUCUUUAGUAGCUGCUGCAUGUGUUGCUUCUUUGAGGAUUAUACUUCGUCUUUCUCCAACGUGGCCUACAAGACUACACCGUCUUACUGCUUAUUCCUGGGAUUUCUUAGUGCAGUGUAUUGAACGCCUGUUGAUUGCUCAUGAUAAUGAUGUGAAAGAAGCAAACAAGCAGAGAGGACAGGCAGGAGCCCAGUCAGCACAGCUCAGUGUGUUCCAAGUGGCCUCCCAGCCCUCACGGCCAGCUCACUUUCAGCAACCUCAGUAUCUCCAUCAGACAUAGCAGACCUCACUGCAGUAUCGCCAUCCCACGUCGGAACAACCAAGCUGUCAGCAGAUUGUAUCUACCACACACACCUCAUCUUACACACUACAGAUGUGUCCAACUGGCUUCCAAACUAGUGUUCAGGGCCUUGGGCACAUGCAGACUGGUGUAGGGAUGUCACUGGCAAUACCAGUAGAAGUUAAACCCUGUCUGAGUGUUUCUUACAAUCGGAGUUAUCAGAUAAAUGAACAUUACCCUUGUAUCACUCCCUGCUUUGAAAGGUGAUGAUGUGUGAAGGGAGUGACUGAUCCAGGCUGCCUUGGAACUUGAAGCUCUGGGUAAGCUUUUUGUGAACUUCUCUUCGGAAGGAAGGGGAUCAGGUGGCAUCAGGACUCUUGGGUGCCAGCACCAGCAAGACUAAAAAUCCCUUUCGAAGCA
Molecule: RNA transcript, 1367 nt
Organism: Carlito syrichta (Philippine tarsier)
Lineage: Eukaryota; Metazoa; Chordata; Mammalia; Primates; Tarsiidae
Gene name: cyclin-J pseudogene
Exons: 1
Source: RefSeq, a predicted model, not a curated record